UUGGUCAAUAAGUGUUGUUGUGUCCUUUUUUUAAGGUUUUCUACAAACAUUUCUAAAGCCCAACAGCUGAGGGACAGGCUGAAACAACUGCUGACAGCUGCUGAAGAAGAAAUACUUCACAUG
Molecule: long non-coding RNA, 123 nt
Organism: Thalassophryne amazonica
Lineage: Eukaryota; Metazoa; Chordata; Actinopteri; Batrachoidiformes; Batrachoididae
Exons: 3
Source: RefSeq, a predicted model, not a curated record